AGAUCCUUCCAGACGAUGCGAAGGACUUGGGCCAGAUCAAGCCACACCUCCGCUUUCCCUUUCCCAUUCGAUCGUCUGGUUUGGAGCAGAUAGGAGAGAAAGAGAGAGAGAGAGAGAGAGAGGAGAGAGUAUUGGACACGGACAGAAGAACGAAAGAAGAAGCCUGUGCGACCGACGGUGAGGCGUUAUUUUUUUUGGGGGUUUCUUCGCCGUAGAGUUCGUGAUUUGCUGAUGUUCCUUUCAUUCAUCCAGUGGUGAAAUCCGUGGUUGUUACUUGUUCCUUGAGGGUCUGCUUGUAUAAAGACUAAAAACGUUGAAAGCCAAAUUGAUGGCUUGCCAAUUUUGGCCAAUUUUUCCGAUUGAGUCCCUUAAUUAGCUGGGCUUCCCUUAUAAUGCUGAGGGUGAUUUCGUCUUUUGGAUGUGUGAGUAGAUUCUCGUGUCACGCUGACGUCAGCAGUAAGCACGCGUACAUAUUUUUUGUGUCUCUAUCCACUUCUCAGAGAGUGGGAUGGUUCCACACGAAACCAGCGGAGUGAGCUGGGGAAGCAAUUGCUUCUGCAAUGAUUUUCUCACCUCCUUGGCCUUUUCGCCGCCUGGAUCUUCCUCUAACUCUUUCGCCCGUCCGAUCCCCCGUCAUCCUUGACCGUGCCUUCUCCGGGAUCAAAACCCUAGGCGAUUGCCAGUGGAGGCGCUUUGGAGCCGAUCUUACAUGCUGCGAUAUGAGAUUUGUGCGCUUUCUUCAAGCUAGGCGAUCUUUGUUCUGUUGCUGUGGUGGGCUUUCCUCUGAAUUUUUAAGGCUUGUAAGGAUGAUAUGGAUUUCUGAUUUUUGGGUCCUGUGCACCGCUAUUUCUCAUACACACUUCAAGAAGGAAAAUACAUGUUUCUAGAGCUCUGGUUUGGUGACCGAUAUUCACCGCUGCUCUCUGCGAUCGGGAUCUCUACCGGUUGAAAUCUGCUCUCUCUUCGUCAGUUGAGAGACAAGAAGCAUGCUGGAGAUAUACCUGCAGUCUUGACAACCAAUCUUCUGACACUGGUUUAUGAGUUUAAGCUGGAAAACAAGGCUCUAAAAGAGCAUUUGCUUCCUUCUUGGUCCUUUUCUUCCAGUCGUGUAUCAAAACAAUUCAUGGACACUCAGCGAUUGGAUACACACGUGUUCAUGUCUCACAAGUUCAGGUUGAGAGCAGAGCACCUGAGUCUUCACAAAGCAAUUUGUGUUCUGUUAGGCUGGAAAAGUGGGGUCGCCCCUGAUGUUAGCACAUGGGUUCCGGAGCAUAUUCCUUGUAAAGAAGCCAUGACUCAAAAAGAGGAUGUCAUUCUUAGAGCGGUAAGGUUCUUGGGUACGUUUUCUGGGUUGCAAGAUGCAGAGAGGCUUCACAAAUAUUUUGUCGACAACAAGCGUGGAAUAGAUUUUGGGUGAGGGGGCCCCAGUUCCAGCAAGGGCAAAAGCAGCAGCAGUAAUGAGGUAGCUGGGAAAAAGAAUGUGGAGCUCGUGCUUUACAGAUACAUGGGGAUUUCUGAGGACUUUGGAUAAAAUCGAUAUAGAUACAAAGAGAAAGUGUUAGAUAAAGAGCAAGAAGGAGAUCCAUGAUCUUUGAAAUGCUCCUGUUAAACCCGAAUGAGUGUGGGGCAUAUUACUACGACAGAGAAAUUCGUCUUACCAAUAAACAGUUUUUGAUUUACAGUUUAUGUUUAGACAUGAGUAUUAUCCCUUAUAUCCUACCUGGAUUGAUUUUGAUGGUUCGGAUAGGAAGAGGUUGUUUAAACUUUCGGUCUACCCAUGAUAUGUGGCAUUCACAAAAGAUUUUGCUUAUAAGUGAUAUAAACAAAUGUUGUGUUGUGUUUGA
Long non-coding RNA from Rhododendron vialii, 1844 nucleotides. RefSeq lists it as uncharacterized. The record is from RefSeq and is a predicted model, not a curated record. The transcript has 6 exons. Lineage: Eukaryota; Viridiplantae; Streptophyta; Magnoliopsida; Ericales; Ericaceae.